AACUACAAAGGAAUUGACGGGACCCCGCACAAGCGGUGGAUCAUGUUGUUUAAUUCGAUGAUACGCGAAGAACCUUACCAGGUCUUGACAUCCCCCCGCGAUGCUUUAGAGAUAAAGCGGAGGUAUUCGGGGAGACAGGUGGUGCAUGGUUGUCGUCAGCUCGUGUCGUGAGAUGUUGGGUUAAGUCCCGCAACGAGCGCAACCCUUGUCCUUAGUUACCAGCACGUUAUGGUGGGCACUCUAAGGAGACUGCCGGUGACAAACCGGAGGAAGGUGGGGAUGACGUCAAGUCAUCAUGGCCCUUACGGCCUGGGCUACACACGUGCUACAAUGGUCGGUACAAAGGGUUGCCAAGCCGCGAGGUGGAGCUAAUCCCAUAAAACCGAUCGUAGUCCGGAUCGCAGUCUGCAACUCGACUGCGUGAAGUCGGAAUCGCUAGUAAUCGUGAAUCAGAAUGUCACGGUGAAUACGUUCCCGGGCCUU
RNAcentral lists this ribosomal RNA (483 nucleotides) under uncultured Pseudomonas sp. RNAcentral describes it as "bacterial SSU rRNA". It matches the Rfam family "Bacterial small subunit ribosomal RNA", at positions 897 to 1382 of the family's 1533-position model. Lineage: Bacteria; Pseudomonadati; Pseudomonadota; Gammaproteobacteria; Pseudomonadales; Pseudomonadaceae. The record is from RNAcentral.